RNAcentral lists this transfer RNA (78 nucleotides) under Cellulomonas biazotea. Its description in RNAcentral is "tRNA-Ser". The record is from RNAcentral. Lineage: Bacteria; Bacillati; Actinomycetota; Actinomycetes; Micrococcales; Cellulomonadaceae.
CGCCGUCGGGGUGCCGCACGUCGACGGCGUCUACUGGACGCUGUGGGCCGAGCUGCGGUUCUACCUGCUCGUCGGCGU